UCGGGAGUUCCGUACGUAAAUGCGAGCGAGUGUUAAUUAACGCGUGCAAUCGUAAUCAGUUGUGUUUUUCCGAUUGAAUCGUAUCUGCGCAUUGUGAGUGUUUGAAGCAACGAUUGUUCCAGCGAUAGACGAGAAGGCGGCGACAACGAAUCAGCAUCCAUGAACUUUGUGUGUUUGAUGCUACGAAUCGUAUUCGUUCCGUCAUAACAAAAUAUGAAUCGGGAGUGCCGUUAAUGCCGGGAGUGUCGUGAUAGUUUCGCGCGAGUACGAAACGCCGUACUUUAGCGAAUCGUAUAGACGAACGCAUUUCCGCCGAAUGAUAAACAUUGGGACAUGAUCAAACUUUCUUCAAGAGGCUUCUCGAGUGUGCGCUUGAUUCGAGAAAGGGGAAAAUCGGUUUUUAUUAUGAGAUCCCGACUGAGUUUUUGCUCUCUGUUUUGAGAUAAUCGUGCCACAACUAGUAAAUACGAUCGUCUGAAACGCGGACGGGAUUUGCGCGUAACGUCGCAUCUUGAACGAGUCGGCUCGAUUUGCCUGCGACGUCGGGAGUGCCGUUUAAAGUGUCGCGCGAUUUUUGUAUUCGGAUACGCGCGCGAGCAAUGUGCGCCUCGCGAUGCGUGUGAGUGCUUGAAGGACCACUGAGAGGAGGUGGAGGCCUAGGAGGCAUCGGGCGACGGCAGAACAACGUUGCGAAUUCAGAGGUGUGCUGUAUCUUUCCGAAGCCGGCAGCUUUUAUGAAGUCAACAGCUUGGUGAGUCUUAUUAUAAUGUAAAUUUGAAUAUCAUAUUAGAGAACGUAAAAUGAAGCGAUUCAAUAACCGCAUAAUAAUGCAAUUGAUAUCGUAAUUUCCCUUCGUUGCUUAGUGAACCGCUUUUUUUGCAACGAAAUUAAAUUGUCCGAUAUACAUUUAAAUAAGAAAUAUAAUUUCGAUGAAAAUAAAAUUAUAAUAGAUAGGUAAUUGAAAAUUAUGAAAAUUAAAUUAAACGUAUGAUUAAAUGCGAUCUCCACAUAAAUAAAUAAUUAAUCGCGGAUAUCAGAAAUGAAAUGUAGCAAACGUCUCAACUAUUAUGCGUCACGCUUAACGAGAUCUUUGAAUGAUUUAAUCUUUAGGCAUCGCUCCGCGCGUUAGCGGAAUGAACUCGUUUGUGAAUACGCAAGGAUCUGUUAAGUGCUCAUGUUUCGCUCGGAGUUCAAUCAUUUAAGCCGCGUCGUGUUACAUUUUAAACGUCGCCGCGUUAAGUUUGCUCGAACCGAGAUACUGCGAGAAACGUGCACUAUCUUCUACACUCGUCGCUUAACUUCCAACGGAAAGAGUGUUUUAGCAUUAAAAUAUCAUUUUCCAUGGGAUUCUUGAAACGCCGUCCAGAUCUUAAGUCACGUUCGCUCCGGAAGCGAGACGUCUCCUCCCGAAUGCGUUCCAAGCGAUUUUACAUUCCGAUUUACUAGAAAUUACGUCUACAUCAGCGCAGAGAUUCCGUUUGAAAAAUGUGCAAGAAAUAUUCCUGAAUUUCGAGAAACUUUAUUUAAAUACGCAGCGGGAGUAUGUCCGAAUUGCGGAAAAUGGCACUUUUAUAUAGAUAUAGGUGGGCGGAUUUUCCGUGAAAAAUGCUGAUAUUUUUCCCGCUAGAUAUGGCAUGGCUCGACGUAUUUUACGAUUAAUCCAGAUAGUAUUUUUUUUAUCAGCCGUAUUUUUCUGACCUAACAUAAAACUCGAGCGUGAUACUAUCUGUUCCGUUACGUUCCAAAAGUAACAACCUAGCCAGCGAGGUUUUAAUUUAUGAAUCAAAUUUAUUUGAACAUCUUUAUACUGUACGUACAACGUUAAAACAACAUAAUUUGAUCAAUCAAACGAACUAAUUAAGUAAUUCUACUAAAAGUUUCAACUUUUAUAACUUUUGAUUUAAAUGUUUUAGUAUU
Long non-coding RNA from Linepithema humile (Argentine ant), 1917 nucleotides. RefSeq lists it as uncharacterized. The record is from RefSeq and is a predicted model, not a curated record. Lineage: Eukaryota; Metazoa; Arthropoda; Insecta; Hymenoptera; Formicidae.